GAUGAAGAACGUAGCGAAAUGCGAUAAGUAGUGUGAAUUGCAGAAUUCAGUGAAUCAUCGAGUCUUUGAACGCACAUUGCGCCCCCUGGUAUUCCGGGGGGCAUGCCUGUCCGAGCGUCAUUGCUGCCCUCAAGCACGGCUUGUGUGUUGGGCCCCGCCCCCCGGCUCCCGGGGGGCGGGCCCGAAAGGCAGCGGCGGCACCGCGUCCGGUCCUCGAGCGUAUGGGGCUUCGUCACCCGCUCCGUAGGCCCGGCCGGCGCCCGCCGGCGACCCCCCUCAAUCUUUUCAGGUUGACCUCGGAUCAGGUAGGGAUACCCGCUGAACUUAAGCAUACCAAUAAGCGGAGGA
RNAcentral lists this unclassified non-coding RNA (348 nucleotides) under soil metagenome. RNAcentral's name for it is "partial contains 5.8S ribosomal RNA, internal transcribed spacer 2, and large subunit ribosomal RNA". The stretch from base 1 to 120 matches the Rfam family "5.8S ribosomal RNA", at positions 35 to 154 of the family's 154-position model. The record is from RNAcentral.